This 253-nucleotide ribosomal RNA is filed under the name uncultured prokaryote. RNAcentral describes it as "partial 16S ribosomal RNA". It matches the Rfam family "Bacterial small subunit ribosomal RNA", at positions 524 to 776 of the family's 1533-position model. The record is from RNAcentral.
UACGGAGGAUCCGAGCGUUAUCCGGAUUUAUUGGGUUUAAAGGGUGCGUAGGUGGCUUUUUAAGUCAGGGGUGAAAGACGGUAGCUUAACUAUCGCAGUGCCUUUGAUACUGAAGAGCUUGAAUGAACUAGAGGUAGGCGGAAUGUGACAAGUAGCGGUGAAAUGCAUAGAUAUCGGAAGGAACACCAGUGGCGAAAGCGGCUUCCUGGUCCAGCACCGACGUUCAGGCACGAAAGCGUGGGGAGCAAACAGG